RNAcentral lists this ribosomal RNA (541 nucleotides) under Staphylococcus aureus. RNAcentral describes it as "partial 23S ribosomal RNA". It matches the Rfam family "Bacterial large subunit ribosomal RNA", at positions 513 to 1056 of the family's 2925-position model. The record is from RNAcentral. Lineage: Bacteria; Bacillati; Bacillota; Bacilli; Caryophanales; Staphylococcaceae.
GGUGAAAAGCACCCCGGAAGGGGAGUGAAAUAGAACCUGAAACCGUGUGCUUACAAGUAGUCAGAGCCCGUUAAUGGGUGAUGGCGUGCCUUUUGUAGAAUGAACCGGCGAGUUACGAUUUGAUGCAAGGUUAAGCAGUAAAUGUGGAGCCGUAGCGAAAGCGAGUCUGAAUAGGGCGUUUAGUAUUUGGUCGUAGACCCGAAACCAGGUGAUCUACCCUUGGUCAGGUUGAAGUUCAGGUAACACUGAAUGGAGGACCGAACCGACUUACGUUGAAAAGUGAGCGGAUGAACUGAGGGUAGCGGAGAAAUUCCAAUCGAACCUGGAGAUAGCUGGUUCUCUCCGAAAUAGCUUUAGGGCUAGCCUCAAGUGAUGAUUAUUGGAGGUAGAGCACUGUUUGGACGAGGGGCCCCUCUCGGGUUACCGAAUUCAGACAAACUCCGAAUGCCAAUUAAUUUAACUUGGGAGUCAGAACAUGGGUGAUAAGGUCCGUGUUCGAAAGGGAAACAGCCCAGACCACCAGCUAAGGUCCCAAAAUAUA